ACUCCUGCGGGAGGCAGCAGUGGGGAAUAUUGCACAAUGGGCGCAAGCCUGAUGCAGCCAUGCCGCGUGUAUGAAGAAGGCCUUCGGGUUGUAAAGUACUUUCAGCGGGGAGGAAGGCAAUACGGUUAAUAACCGUGUUGAUUGACGUUACCCGCAGAAGAAGCACCGGCUAACUCCGUGCCAGCAGCCGCGGUAAUACGGAGGGUGCAAGCGUUAAUCGGAAUUACUGGGCGUAAAGCGCACGCAGGCGGUCUGUCAAGUCGGAUGUGAAAUCCCCGGGCUCAACCUGGGAACUGCAUUCGAAACUGGCAGGCUUGAGUCUUGUAGAGGGGGGUAGAAUUCCAGGUGUAGCGGUGAAAUGCGUAGAGAUCUGGAGGAAUACCGGUGGCGAAGGCGGCCCCCUGGACAAAGACUGACGCUCAGGUGCGAAAGCGUGGGGAGCAAACAGGAUUAGAAACCCUUGUAGUCCCAUG
RNAcentral lists this ribosomal RNA (473 nucleotides) under uncultured organism. Its description in RNAcentral is "partial 16S ribosomal RNA". It matches the Rfam family "Bacterial small subunit ribosomal RNA", at positions 335 to 799 of the family's 1533-position model. The record is from RNAcentral.